This 350-nucleotide ribosomal RNA is filed under the name uncultured bacterium. RNAcentral's name for it is "bacterial SSU rRNA". It matches the Rfam family "Bacterial small subunit ribosomal RNA", at positions 1039 to 1391 of the family's 1533-position model. The record is from RNAcentral.
UGCUGCAUGGCUGUCGUCAGCCCGUGUCGUGAGAUGUUGGGUUAAGUCCCGCAACGAGCGCAACCCUUGCCAUUAGUUGCUACAUUUAGUUGAGCACUCUAAUGGGACUGCCGGUGACAAACCGGAGGAAGGUGGGGAUGACGUCAAGUCCUCAUGGCCCUUACGGCCUGGGCUACACACGUGCUACAAUGGUCGGUACAAAGGGUUGCCAAGCCGCGAGGUGGAGCUAAUCCCAUAAAACCGAUCGUAGUCCGGAUCGCAGUCUGCAACUCGACUGCGUGAAGUCGGAAUCGCUAGUAAUCGUGAAUCAGAAUGUCACGGUGAAUACGUUCCCGGGUCUUGUACACACG